AGGAGGGGCAAAGCAGUAAGGAUGAAAUCUUAAUAGCCUAGUGUUGCAGUACCCAGAGCCAAACCCAAAUAUAGAAUAUCACCUCCCCUAAACCCUGAGUGGAAAAGCUCAAAGGAAGAGAAGACACACCUCUACACAACGUUCAUGAGAAGAAGGGAAGGAUGAGUUUUCUUGGACAGCAUUUUCUUGGAAGUAAAGUGUCUGGGUUUCAAGAAAAAGGUUCUGACUCCAAGGACUCUCCAGGAAGCACAUGGAGAAGGUUGCUAAGAAGUAGCAUAGAGCCACAGUAGAAAGUUCUACCGUGGCUUUGCUGGGCACACUUAGGCAAGCUUCCUGCUCCAAUUCCUCCCACCCACCUUGGCACUGACCUGGCCUCCUGCACAAUUUGCUCCCCCAACUCAGAACACAAUGAUCAAUACUGGGAGCAAUUCUGUCCUAAGAGGAGAGUUUGGCAAUGCCCGGCCCCUUCUGCUCAGGUAACUGAAGCCAAAGGGACAUUUCCACAUCAGUUUUCCAAGUUAGUGAACAAACAAACCAAAAUCAAAAAAAAAAAAAAAAAAGAUAUAAAAGAGACAGUACUAUGUACUAGAUUUCUCAAUGUUUCAAAUGCAGUACACUCACUUCUGCCCUCAUACACAUUUCCAGUUACUGGCUGGAAAGGAUCCCACUUCACAGUCAUCCCAGUCAAUAGGCCACUCUGAUCCUGCUCCUAGAUGACCGCAACUGCCACCUCACUGGUCUCCCAACCAUUUGUCACAGAGCACCCAAAGUUACUCAGCUAGACCAAAUAUCUGAACAUGCCUCUCCCCGACUUAAAACCUUUUGCCAGCUCCUCAGCACCUGAACAUAGAGUCCAGUGCUCACCAAGGUCUACCUGGCCUCCCUUCUGUGACUCCAGCCUACUCUCUUGCCACUCCCCACCUGCUAAGCAAUGCCCUGGAGAUGUGUAUACAGGCUCAGAAUAUGCUGCACGCUCUCCUACCACUGGGACUUCACUGUACCAGACAACAGCCUAACCCCAACUAAGGUAAACUCUGCCACCAAACAUGCCUGGGAAUGGAGAAGGGUCUGCAGAUGAGAACCCCUUCUGGUUCUAUGAUUCAAAUCUUCAUUCACUCAAAGCAGGUAAAUAGGAAAUUUCAACAGCUUCCUCUCCUCCCUCUCAUUCCUUUCUUCUGUCAUCGAUCUGAUCAGGAAUGCUCUGAGGCAUUCCCUGGUUAUUUUUUCUUUACCUCUCAAAAUCCACAUGGUAUGUUACACUAAUGCCCAGCAUGUUCCUCAGAUCUCUAGAUGGCUCUAAUUAAAGGACCACCCCUUCUUCUGAAUACAGACCUGGGGUUAGAGGACAUAAGAGCUUGAAGGGCUCUUUAAAAGUCAAGUAGUAUCAUUUUACAGACCAACAACCUAAAAAACAGAAAAGUAAAAUGACUUGUCCAAGGUCACAUGGCUUAAUGGAUUUGUGGGCAUUCAUGAACACCCUGUAAUUACACAUAAAAUUUGGAUUAUAUGAGCCCAUGUGUAUUUUUUCUGAAGAGAAAAUCCGUAUCUUUCUUCAAAGAAGUCAACAAUCUCUUCCCCAAAAUAUAGUAACCACUGACAAUUAUAUGCAUAUUUGAAAAAAAGUUUAACUAAAAUUUAAUGUUCCAAGUCUGAAUAGUAAUAUGAAUUGGUGAUCUAGAAUAAGAGUGGAACCUAAUUUAAUAACUGUCAUUGUUAUCAUCUUUUUUUCUUUUCAUGUCUGGGAUAUCAAUGCAAGUAACAUGGGAUAAAGACAAUUUGAUGUGGAAGUAAACUAUAAAGCAAGAUUUUUGUUUUGUUUUGUUUU
This 1825-nucleotide long non-coding RNA is filed under the name Homo sapiens (human). RNAcentral's name for it is "HSALNT0354176". The record is from RNAcentral. Lineage: Eukaryota; Metazoa; Chordata; Mammalia; Primates; Hominidae.